Molecule: ribosomal RNA, 496 nt
Filed under: uncultured bacterium
Lineage: Bacteria
Description: bacterial SSU rRNA
Rfam family: Bacterial small subunit ribosomal RNA
Source: RNAcentral
GACGAACGCUGGCGGCGUGGAUUAGGCAUGCAAGUCGGACGGUAGGGCUUUAUCGUAAGAUAGAGUUUGAGAGUGGCGAACGGGUGAGUAACACGUAGGAAUCUACCCUUAAGACGGGGACAACCCAGGGAAACUUGGGCUAAUACCGGAUGAGAGUGCGAGAGAUUGCAUUUAAAAGGAUGGCGAAAGUUGUCGCUUAGGGAUGAGCCUGCGGUCUAUUAGUUAGUUGGUGAGGUAAGAGCUCACCAAGGCGAUGAUAGAUAGGCGGCCUUAACGGGUGGUCGCCCACACUGGGAUUGAGAUACGGCCCAGACUCCUACGGGAGGCAGCAGUCGAGAAUAGUCUACAAUGGUCGGAAGACUGAUAGUGCGACGCCGCGUGAACGAUGAAUCCCUUCGGGGUGUAAAGUUCUUUUAUAUGUGAGCAGUGCUUCUUAUAUUAACAGUAUGGGGAGAGAGAUAUUAGCAUAUGAAUAAGCAACGGCUAACUCCGUGCC